Molecule: ribosomal RNA, 253 nt
Filed under: uncultured bacterium
Lineage: Bacteria
Description: partial 16S ribosomal RNA
Rfam family: Bacterial small subunit ribosomal RNA
Source: RNAcentral
UACAGAGGUCCCAAGCGUUGUUCGGAUUCAUUGGGCGUAAAGGGUGCGUAGGCGGCGUGACAAGUCACUUGUGAAAUCUCCGGGCUUAACUCGGAACGGUCAAGUGAUACUGUCGUGCUAGAGUACAGAAGGGGCAACUGGAAUUCUCGGUGUAGCGGUGAAAUGCGUAGAUAUCGAGAGGAACACCUGCGGCGAAGGCGGGUUGCUGGGCUGAUACUGACGCUGAGGCGCGAAAGCCAGGGGAGCGAACGGG